Molecule: ribosomal RNA, 497 nt
Filed under: uncultured bacterium
Lineage: Bacteria
Description: partial 16S ribosomal RNA
Rfam family: Bacterial small subunit ribosomal RNA
Source: RNAcentral
GAUGAACGCUGGCGGCGUGCCUAAUACAUGCAAGUCGAGCGAACGGACGAGAAGCUUCCUUCUCUGAUGUUAGCGGCGGACGGGUGAGUAACACGUGGAUAACCUACCUAUAAGACUGGGAUACCUUCGGGCAACCGGAGCUAAUACCGGAUGAUAUUUUGAACCGCAUGGUUCAAAAUUGAAAGACGGUCUUGCUUUCACUUAUAGAUGGAUCCGCGCUGCAUUAGCUAGUUGGUAAGGUAACGGCUUACCGAGGCAACGAUGCAUAGCCGACCUGAGAGGGUGAUCGGCCACACUGGAACUGAGACACGGUCCAGACUCCUACGGGAGGCAGCAGUAGGGAAUCGUCCGCAAUGGGCGCAAGCCUGACGGAGCAACGCCGCGUGAGUGAUGAAGGUCUUCGGAUCGGAAGACUCUGUUAUUAGGGAAGAACAUAUGUGUAAGUACCUGUGCACAUAUUGACGGUACCUAAUCAGAAAGCCACGGCUAACUACGUG